RNAcentral lists this ribosomal RNA (450 nucleotides) under uncultured bacterium. RNAcentral's name for it is "partial 16S ribosomal RNA". It matches the Rfam family "Bacterial small subunit ribosomal RNA", at positions 354 to 796 of the family's 1533-position model. The record is from RNAcentral.
GUGGGGAAUCUUCCGCAAUGGACGAAAGUCUGACGGAGCAACGCCGCGUGAGUGAUGAAGGUCUUCGGAUUGUAAAGCUCUGUUAAUCGGGACGAAAGAGCCUAGUGUGAAUAAUGCUAGGAAGUGACGGUACCGGAAUAGAAAGCCACGGCUAACUACGUGCCAGCAGCCGCGGUAAUACGUAGGUGGUAAGCGUUGUCCGGAAUUAUUGGGCGUAAAGCGCGCGCAGGCGGAUCUGCCAGUCUGUCUUAAAAGUUCGGGGCUUAACCCCGUGAUGGGAUGGAAACUACAGAUCUAGAGUAUCGGAGAGGAAAGUGGAAUUCCUAGUGUAGCGGUGAAAUGCGUAGAUAUUAGGAAGAACACCAGUGGCGAAGGCGACUUUCUGGACGAAAACUGACGCUGAGGCGCGAAAGCCAGGGGAGCGAACGGGAUUAGAAACCCCGGUAGUCC